This 497-nucleotide ribosomal RNA is filed under the name uncultured bacterium. RNAcentral's name for it is "partial 16S ribosomal RNA". It matches the Rfam family "Bacterial small subunit ribosomal RNA", at positions 28 to 507 of the family's 1533-position model. The record is from RNAcentral.
GAUGAACGCUGGCGGCGUGCCUAAUACAUGCAAGUCGAGCGAACGGACGAGAAGCUUGCUUCUCUGAUGUUAGCGGCUGACGUGUGAGUAACACGUGUAUAACCUACCUAUAUUACUUUGAUAACUUCGGGAAACCGUAGCUAAUACCGUCUAAUAUUUUGAACCUCAUGUUUCCAAAGUUAUAUACGGUCUUUCUUUCUCUUAUAGAUGUAUCCGCGCUUCAUUAGCUAGUUGGUAAGGUAACGGCUUACCAAGGCAACGAUGCAUAGCCGACCUGAGAGGGUGAUGGGCAAGACUGGAAGUGAGAAACGGUCAAGACACGUACGGGAGGAAGAAGUAGGGAAUGUUGCGAAAUGGGCGAAAGGAUGACGGAGCAAAGCCGCGUGAGUGAUGAAGGACUUCGGAUCGUAAAAAUCUGUUAUUAGGGAAGAACAAAUGUGUAAGUAACUGUGCACAUCGUGACGGUACCUAAUCAGAAAGCAACGGCUAACUACGUG